CAGGAGUGCAACAGAUGCUACUCCUGUAAGCAGAAACUUGGCUGUUCUUUUUCACUGUGCUGGUGGGAGAUGGGAAGAUAAAGAUCAGCUAGACAGCAUCAUCCUUUAGAGAAAAUUGCAAUAAUAAGGAAAGUGUCUGGGAGUAGAAGUAGGAUGUUGUGCAGAUACUGUGGAAGGAAUUUGUGAGAAAACAUAGUGAGGGCACAGAGUAGGGAGGACGGGGAGAAGUCACAAAGGGGUCAAAGGUCCACAAUAGCAACAAGCACUGAUGAAAUUUGUUUUGCUGCAUUGUGAUUCAGAGUUAUCUUUCAGCAGUAAAAUUCUGUAAGGGAGAGUACCAGGAUGCCAGAUUCACAGCUAGCCAGAAUUGAUGACCUCCAAAUUCACAAUAUUCAGAAGGAAAUCAG
Long non-coding RNA from Empidonax traillii (willow flycatcher), 407 nucleotides. RefSeq lists it as uncharacterized. The record is from RefSeq and is a predicted model, not a curated record. The transcript has 3 exons. Lineage: Eukaryota; Metazoa; Chordata; Aves; Passeriformes; Tyrannidae.